CCUUGCUUCUCUGUUUACGCACGUGGGUGGUCCGCGCCUUCCCGCUCCCUCCAUCGCGCGCUCUCUCUUCCUCUCUCUCUCUCCCUUCCUGUGUCUCUGCCUCCGCCUGUCUUUCUCUCUGAACUUCUCCAUCGCUCACGCCACCAUACCGGUCCCACCGUCACGCCACCCGCCCUCUUCUGUUACCGGUUUGUUUGCUUCCGUCGUUUGGAGGCUGCCGCGGUCCUUGUGCCGGUGCAUCGACGCACUGCGCAAACACCGGAGAGUGCUUCUCUUCGUUCGAAUGACAGACUUCUACGUAGAGGUACGCACGCGUUCGGAGGAGCAGGACAGAAGGAAGGUGCAGCAGGCCGCUGCUGGUGUAGUGCUGAACGUGCGCGUGCAUGUCUCUCUCCCUCUCACUCACUUGGCGUGCGCCUUUAGCGGUCUGUGCUGUCGUCGGCGCCUAUUAGAACUUCGUGCGCGUGUCGAAGGGCGCCAGGCUCGGCGGCACAACAGGUGCGUGCAUGUUUGAGUGUUCAGGAGCGGCUGCGUGCCGAGCCGCGGACAAAGGCGGAAUACACGUUUUGUGAGCAGAAUUCGACUUUGGUAUCCCCGCGUUCGUGGAAGGGGCGGAUGGUGAGAGAACGGAUGCGCGGUGAGCAGGGAUGGUGCUGCUGCCGCACGCCGCCGCACGGUUGCCCCUCACUGCUUGAGCGUACAUGUGCAUGCGCGCGCUGACGUUGAAUCGCCUCUUUAUGGCUGCUCACCGCUUUAUUUGCUUCUUUCUUUACCCCAUUGCUGAGAGGCACGUGUGCGCGUAUAUGCAGCGGGAAGCAGCUUUCUUCCCUCGCCCUCCCUCCGCGUAUGUGCCCUGUCAUGUUGUUCCAUCUGCGUUCCUGCUGGCUGUGCGUUGAGUUCUCUCUGUGUGUAUGGAGCGGCAACCUGGCGUUGGCGGAAAGGAAAAGGAAUCGACGAAAGGGGAGCCGUAAACUCCCCGCUUCUGUACAUAUAUAUAUAUACAUAUAUACAUACGCAUAUAUAUAGAGAGAGAG
Molecule: unclassified non-coding RNA, 1034 nt
Filed under: Leishmania donovani
Lineage: Eukaryota; Euglenozoa; Kinetoplastea; Trypanosomatida; Trypanosomatidae
Description: gene:unknown
Source: RNAcentral